CUGCACUUUCUUAGAACUACCAUCGAAACUCUUCCACUCACCUGUCCUUUCCACCCUCUCCUUGACAGGGGCCCAACUGCCAUUGGGUCUGACGCUUCUCCCAGCCUCCACCUGUUCUUGCCUCACUUUACCUCACAGAUGUGUCCCCUGAUGAACUUCCCUGACGCCUGCUUCUCGGAGGACCUGUAUCGACACGUUGUCUAAUUCAGUCUCCCCAAACUUAGGAGCUAUUGAUGACUAUAAGAAAUUGAGCCUCGGGGAUUCUGAAGUACACAUUCAGGUCACCCUGCCAGUGAGUGGCAGUCUUCCAACCCAUCUCCGUCUCUUGACUCGUCUCAUUGUGCCACACUGUCUAAGACACCUUACUGUACAUGUAUGUUUCUUCUUUAUGUGCUACUUUGCCAGUUGACAAAUUCUAUGGUAGAAAAAGGAAUAGGUAAAGAUUAGCCUACAGCUCUCUGCCAAAAGGGAAAACAAAAAAACAAACAAAAAAAAGAUCUGGAAGGCAAGUUGUUAAUAUAAAACAUUCACCCUUUUUCUAGAGGAACUUACAAUUUAAGCUUCCCUGUACGUGUCACUGACAGGGAGCUGUCUGGCUACAUGAAUAUGUUGUUUUUCUUUUUUUUUUUUUUUUCUCCCUACACCCCUUUUUAGGUAAUUCAGAGCUGCAAGUGCUGAAUCUAUUUUUCAGAGAUAACAUGUGAAUUUGUGACAUUCCCUGUGGAGUUUGAGGUCUAGGAACCUAGGAAGAGAUCACAACGAAACACAAGCAUUGCUUCCAAGUGCUAGAGUGAUUAUUGUCUGGAAGUCUUAGCAUUAUUUAAAAGGCAGCUUCUUCUCAUUUGGAUCAGGCAACGGUGUGUUUUCUGAAGGCGAGAAGGCCUUUCUAUAAAAGCCAGUACAGAGUGGGGCUGCAGGCUCCUUGUGUUGUAGCAGAGGCCAGCGGCAAAAGCCACGGUAGCCGCUUCAGGGAAGCACCAGCAAGUGGAACCGAUGCCUAAUGAAUGGAGGGCCCAGUGGGGAAGUGAAGAAAACAAAGGGAGACUUUUUUUUCCCUUCAUUUCCCCCACCCCCACCCACCACUUUUUUAUUCCAGGAAAGAAAAGUACAGUUUACUGCAAUUCAUUCCCACACCUGGUGAAGGUUCAAGAGGACAGGGAGCCUGAGGACCUUCACCUGAAUGGCUUCUUGAAAGAUGCUGUGUUCAGAUCUUUGGUGCCAGAAGAACACCGACUCGUCUCCCUCUUUGCUUUGCAGGGCCUCCUUUCAUGUGAUUUAGAAAAUGUAUUCUUCUCAGAGCUACGCCACUGGUCUUGUGGGUACUCCUGCUGCCCAUCCGUUCUAUUUCUCUGGUCGGGGCCCCAAGCAAGAGCAGGCACCUCGAUCACUGAAUCAUUUCCUCAGAUGAGUCUACCGCAGAAUCUUAGCUCUUGGAUGGAGGCCCCCACUGUUGGUCUUCUGCCUCAACAUUCCUUUUAACUGAAUGGUGUCCCGCUUGCCUCUCUAGUUCGUCUCUCGUGGCUUCUUCACACCAAAACAAAAGUGCUUUCCAUUCUAGAAGCUUCCAUUUUCCCUAUGCCACAUGCCUUUGCCCACGCUGUUUCUUCCACCAGUAGCGUCCUGUGCCCCUUGCUAACUCCCUUGCUGUCUGCCCAUUUGGUGCGUGUUUAAUUCCAGGAAGACGGCGUUCAAGUGAAACCUCCGCGAAGCCUUCCGUGACAUCUCCAAACUCGAUUAAUUACUUCAUUCUCUGCGUGUGUCAGUAAUUUUGUUUAGCGGAAAUUAAUUUUGCCUCUCUGUGAAGAUACAGAUUCACAUUCAGUAGAUUUUCUGAGUGAGUACUAAGUGCCUGGCACUGGAAUGAUCACUUUCACAUAUAGCACUUUUUGAAUUUCUUUUUGGUGAAGAGACCAGAGAACAUGAGCCUUUUGGAUUGAGACUCACUAGUAUGGCUUUCUGAAAUUACUCUUGACUCUUCAGAAGGAGGAAUCGGUAUACAUAUGAGGGGCAUUUUUAGUCACUUUUAGUUUGAUGAAAAAACAACACAACAAAAUCUUCAUUGUUCGAGGUCUCUGACUUCCCCAGAAGUUUUGGGGAAAAUCGUGAACCCCGCUUCCAGUGACCCUCUGCCACACGAGGACACAUAUUAAUGAUCUCUGUAGGUCUCUUUGGAAGGUGCAUUAUGUUAUCACACUUGCCGUGAGCUCUGGGGGCCUCCAGACUCCCUGAGUGGCAGCAGGCAUAGGCCCUGCCCCGUUCCACUCUGCAUGGCCACUUGAGCCAUGAGCAACCCAAUCUCAGUCACUCCUUCUUGUAAGGUUGUAAGUAACAGCUAGCAUAUCUGCAGAAUGCAACAAGUACCACUGUUUAAUGUGUAUAGGAUUUUUGACAUACUAAUUACAUCCUGCUCCAAGCCGUGAGGCAUAGGUGAUCAGCUCCAUGAAAUAAUCAACAGUUGGAAAAAAUAACUUUUAUUUUUCACUGAGAUGACUGUGAAAAAAAAAAUUUUUGCUGUUGAUAACUCUGCUUUUAGUUGAAAACACAGAGCACAGGCUGGUAAACUAUAGCCUAUGAGUGAGCCCGUUCUGUUGUUUCUUUUCACACGUAAAGGUUUAUUGGAACACAGCCAGGCCAUGUGCUUACAUAUUGCCCGUGACUGCUUUCACAUUAUAAACACAGAGUUGAGUGGUUGCAGAGAGGCUGGAUAACCCACAGAGACUAAACUACUCACUGCUUCGUCCUUUGCAGAAAAAGUGUGCCGAUCCCUGACACGGCAAUGCAGAGUUCUUCCAGAAACCAUCAAGGCAAACUCUCCAACAGCAAGUCCUUACCAAAAGCCUGAUUGCAAGAAUAUUUUUCUCUCAGAUCUUAGUAUCAAGAAAGUUGGGCUUGCUCUUGAGCCACUGCAGUGUGCCGUAGUCCUCGACGUUCCCACUUGAUCAGAUUGUGAAAUAAGACUCAGACACCACUCCUUGCUUGGAGGGAAUGUACGGGGCUCUGACCACUGAUGCCUGCAGGAGUCUGGUAGGAAACUACAUACACUACCUGCAGGGUUAUUUUGUCCUUAAAGAUUUGGGUAAAAUACUAGCAUAUUUUGGCAUAUAGCGGCAGCACCGAACAAAGGACUGGAUUUGGAAAUGGAAGUCACAGAUUCCACUCUCAGUACUGCAUGUAAAUAACCAUGUGAUUUUAGGCAAAUCACUCCUUGUAUGAUGAUUAGAGAUUAUAAACCUAAACUACCAAGAGUGAGAAUAUUUGUGGGAGUUCUUUGUUUCUAGAUAAAAGUGCAGUAUUAUCACUAGAGUUAUAUAUGUGAUGAUAGUGGCAUAGAGCACACAUGAAAUCAUAAACACUUCUCUACUAGGGAAUUAAACAGUGUUAGUAGCUUCAAUAACAGAAAGAUGCACCUUCAAUUGUAUUCCUUUUGAUUUAGGCCUCAUAGAAAUAGAUAAGUUGAGGUGUUUAAUGUCUUUUUUCUUUAUUUGUUUUUUGUUCUACCCUGAGAAGCAAUUUUGCUCACAGCAAAGAGAAUAAAAAUGAAGGACUUGAGGAGAGAACAAGAAGUUUGGAAUAAGUAAUAUAAGGAAUGUACAGUGGAGAUGCUUGGUGUACAUGUAUGAAAUGUUAAGGAGACUGAAAACCCCAGUUGUGUGUAACGUACAUGGAUUAAUUAGCAUAUUUCAUUUUUUUCAUUAUUAUUACUAUUUUUUUUGACAAUAUCCAGUACUCUGGACACAGGAGCAGAGACACAAGCAAUAUGUAUCCAUACAAGACCGAUUAUUAUCCAGAGGAAUUCAGGAAAAGAAAAACAAGGUAGACACGAGGCUUGUUUCACCUGGAGGCCGAACACGGGACAGUUAUGGUGUGGGAGAGAUCACACGGCAGAGACAAGAGCACAGGUGUCUGUUUGCUACAAGCACAUCUUGCAUUCUGCAUCGAAAGCAUCACUUCUGUCACGAUUGCCACACCGCUGUUUACAGAAGCAUCCCCGACUUGGCGAAUUUAAUGACACGUCCUCCUGUAUGGGUCACCGGAUAUCUGGUCCUAAGUUUCUACAGUUCUUCUUGUUUAAGAGGCAAUAUCUGCGGUGGAAGGAGGGCACAAACUUAACUCCUCUGAGCUCUGGCACUGCUCCUGUGAUUAACAUUGCACCUUCAUGAUACAGAAAGAAAAUCCUGAAAUAUAUCUUUCAAUUUGAUAAUCAGUAGAGGGGCUAUUGUAGUUUGAAAUAUUCAUAAACUUUUCCUCCUGAAAAUUAGUCCUAUGCUUAGUCCCAUUUAGACAAAUAGGCAUCCUACAGUCAAAGGGUAGGAGAACAGAAAACAAAAAGGCAAGAAAUAUGUGUUAAGUGAUAAGUUUUUGGUUUGAGGAGAACAGGAAAACUCCCUUGGGAUUCCAGCAGGUAAGCUAGUUAGAGGGGAACUUCAGAAAGCUCAGAGGCUAGGGUCAUUUCCUAUCCAUGCUAUGUCCCUGGCAAGUUCACUAAGGGAAACAGGAGGUGUUGGAAAUCCCAGAAUAGGUUUGGAGAAUCUGAGAUCAGAUGAGACCUUAGCUCCUAUGUCUGGAGAACAAAGAGAUUUCAUGGCCCCAGAAUCCUUCACGCACAGCACAAUGUAAAAGCAGAAGGGAGAUCUGUCUGCACGUCUAGACAAGCAUGUCAGGACAGAAGCACAACCAGUUGAUGACAAGGACAAAGCCUCUCCUCCCCUGUCCCCCCACCAUACU
Long non-coding RNA from Neofelis nebulosa (Clouded leopard), 4725 nucleotides. RefSeq lists it as uncharacterized. Lineage: Eukaryota; Metazoa; Chordata; Mammalia; Carnivora; Felidae. The record is from RefSeq and is a predicted model, not a curated record. The transcript is spliced from 5 exons.